GCCGGAGUGGUGGAACUGGCAGACACACAGGACUUAAAAUCCUGAGCGGGUCUCCCGCGUGCGGGUUCAAGUCCCGCCUCCGGCA
RNAcentral lists this transfer RNA (85 nucleotides) under Desulfurellaceae bacterium. RNAcentral's name for it is "tRNA-Leu". It matches the Rfam family "tRNA". Rfam says of the family: Transfer RNA (tRNA) molecules are approximately 80 nucleotides in length. Their secondary structure includes four short double-helical elements and three loops (D, anti-codon, and T loops). The record is from RNAcentral. Lineage: Bacteria; Pseudomonadati; Campylobacterota; Desulfurellia; Desulfurellales; Desulfurellaceae.